UUCCCACCUGAUGUUCAGAAGUGGACGGGAAAGGACUUUCAUCAUGUAGAGUUCAGUUUCUUCAUCCUUGGCUGAUUUUUGGAGAAGUGCAACGAACUCCUCCAAACUCGAACUAGUACUGAAGAAAAAACACAGAUAAUCAAAGAAUUUUGAUGAGAAAUGAGUGAGAAAUCGAAGAUCUAGGGCUAAAUUUUCCUGUCGCUAUUUCUCUCUCCUCCCGUUUAUUGAGAGAAAUUUGAUUUAAAAAGAAUGGAGUUACGUUUUGUUUGCAGUAUCUGUAUUUCUUUCUACGAUUACAGAAGAUUCUAUUUGUUACUUCAUCAUCAUCUCCAUGGUUUAAUUCAAUGGUUGGAAACCAAGCAUUAUCUCAACCUUUUUCUGUCAAUUUUUGAGAGGAUUUGAUGUAGUUGACAAGAUUAAAUCCAGCGUUGAAUCGGUUUGUCCUGGUGUUAUUUAUUGCUCUGAUAUUCUGGUUCUUCUGCAAGAGAUAGUGUUGCUCUGAGUGGUGGACCUUUCUAUCCAGUUCCUUAUAGGAAGGAGAGAUGGUCUUAUUAUAUCUCACCCUGAAAUUGCUAAAGUGGAGCUUCCAGCACCAACUGAUGAUCUCUCUGUCAUCCUGCUCAAGUUUUUCACUAGAUAUUUCAACGAACAAGAAACAGUCAGUCUUUUGGGUGUUUUCAAAAGUCUGGACUGGUGGUGUGGCGUAUUGCUGGUGGGUCAUGAAUGAGCUGAUGGUAGAGGUUAUGAUAUUACAUGGUGAUGGACUAGCUGUAACUUGACAUAGGUGAGUUCAUGGUUGUUGGUAACUAACUGAAUUGUUGGAACUACCACUCGUCUCUGUACGACCAGUCCAAUUAGACCUUCCAUAGUUCUUUGAUAGCAACUAGUUUAAUCUACAACUGUUUACAAUCAUAAAUGUGGUCCUGAUGUUUAAAAGCGUGUGCAGUUGAAUACUACAGGUGAUUGUGGUGUAUCGGACCUUAAUACCUAAUUUUAGGAAUACUUAGAUAGUUUGGCUUAUGUACCAUGUGAAGUGGUGACGCAGCGAAUGCAGGUACAAGGCACCAAAAUAUCUCGGAGUUCUAUUGUCAUGAAAGAAAAUGUCUGGCAGAAAUCUGGAGGAAAAAUGUAUGUAAACUACUCCUGAAUAUUUCAGGCAGGCUCCUCAAUUUGGAAACAACAAGGUGUGGGGGUGGGGGUUGUAUACUGGGUUACAUUUUAUGAAUCCCUGAAGGAUUUUGCUGAAUAUGGGAAGCAAAGAUGGUUGCCUAAUUCAGAUACUCAACCUAAUUUUGUCAAGGGGUUACUACUAGGGGGAUUGGCUGGUGAUGCGUGUAUGCUAGCAAAGAAUCUUUCUUUAUGAUAGUUGCAAUUUCGUUGUGUGGCUGUUCUUCAUUACUGCAAUGACAUUGCAUUUCACCCCUCUUCUUGGUUUUAUUGCAUAUCUCUUUACCCUGCUGGAUUUCAUCCAAACAAGACCAAGUACAAGGUCUGAUUGUGAGGAUGGGUUAAAUUUGAAAUAUACAAUCUUUAAAUGCUAUCACUUUGCAAAGGCGGUGGCUACGAUUUGGAUGAUUGAAGGUGGAAGGGGUUUGUUCAGAGGCAGUGUACCUAGAGUCAUAUGUUCCAGCCUCUGCCCUCACAUUCAUGGCUGUGGAAUUCCUCGGAGAUACUUUGGAACUGAAGCAGACAGUAAAUGAAUUUACAAAUUUAUCAAUGGAGAAAACAAGUACAACCUUGUUCCAGCCUCCACCCUUACAUUCAUGGCGGCGAUAUUUUUCGGAUCUGAAGUAGACAGCAAUGAAGUUACGAAUUUGUCAAUAGGUAAAACAAGUACAACCACAACCUUACCGGAGGUAGUCUAGAAAACCUUUCCAUCUUACUUUACCCUAACCAGUUUCUAUACAAGGACUGUUAUACCUUUCUGUAUCAUAUUUUGGAUCCUUCUUCUAUAAGCAAAUAUGUUAAAAAUUUUGUGAAGCAAACUAGUCCUACUUCUGGCUUCUGCUUGGGGAGAAACAGAAUGACUUCUCUACUUAUGGUUUAUAUUGGUUAAAAAAGUUCACCACCCAGUCCGGCCCAAGUUAUGAUUCCUUAAUACCGACUGACCCACCUUGUUAACGGAUGAAUCGCUUUUCUUUAUUUACUAGGAGUAUUUCUUUCUAUGAUACAAAAUCCUUUUCUGACUACACCUUUCUGAGAUUAAUCUCCUCUAUAUAUACCUCAUUCCCCUAUGCUUAGUUUUCACACAACCUCAUCGCUUUUCUCCUCUCGCGAACUUACUCUUCGAUUAACUUUUUUUUUCUUCGAUCGUCGUGGCUAAGUUUAUAAUUUAUGUGUAAACUCUCAGUGAUUUGAUAGAACUAGUGUGGAGAUGUAUGAGCAUGGUGUGAGUUGCUCAU
Molecule: long non-coding RNA, 2402 nt
Organism: Papaver somniferum (opium poppy)
Lineage: Eukaryota; Viridiplantae; Streptophyta; Magnoliopsida; Ranunculales; Papaveraceae
Exons: 6
Source: RefSeq, a predicted model, not a curated record